This 971-nucleotide long non-coding RNA is filed under the name Anser brachyrhynchus (Pink-footed goose). RNAcentral describes it as "lncRNA (ENSABRG00000022979.1)". The record is from RNAcentral. Lineage: Eukaryota; Metazoa; Chordata; Aves; Anseriformes; Anatidae.
UAGUCUUCAGAAAGGAGACCCAACCUUUCCCCCAAUUAAUCUCAUUUUUCUGCUAUAUCUAUUUAUCCUUUUUCUUUUAAAGAUAUUAUCAGUUUUAAAUAUUUGGGCCACUUGAGUGUAGUGGUGCAGGUGCAGUGGCCUCCACUGCUGCUAUUCACAACACCCAGAGGACAGCAAUCAGGUUCACACCUGAGAUAGGGGAAAAGUGGCACAACAGUUCCCCUACUUCAUUACUCAAGCCUGGGUGGUUUAGCUCUAAGAAGCAGCAGCAAGGAGUGAAGUUUGUUUUUGAAAGCAAACUAACUAGCUGGGAACCUGGCAUGCUGGUCUGUCUGAGCUCUGCAGUUUCCCUCUUCUUCCUUACAACUCUUCUACCCUCUUCAGUUCAGGUUUUCAAUUCUAUAUCAAUUAAGAAACCACAUUUUGGUUUUGAGUGACUAGCUUUUAGUUUUAUUUGUAAGCCAGUAAAAGAAGACUGCAAAUCUUCAUCCUUCUUUGGAAGGACUGAUAUGAAUAAAUAGGUGUUAGUUGAGUAUCUGGUAACUGCCAAAACAGAAGAUACGAAAUGUGGAGAUGCAUGCUCUGUCUGGAAGGCUUCGAAAGACCAGCUCCUGUGUUCUGCCACUACCCUAGAGAAAUCCCUGUGUACUUAUUUGCUCUUGGAAACAACAAAUUGCUGUCUGAAGCCAUGGGAGUCCCUGCCUCUGUCUGCUACAGUACCAUAUGUAAGUGCAGUCAUACUCCACCUCAGUGCUCCUCCUCACCCCCUGGGUUUUUUUUUUUUUUGCUUGUUUUUCUGCUUCAUUUAUUGAUAGCUAAUGUGAUCCUUGUGACUACUACUUGUGCUAGGAUAAAUGGCAAAUAAUCCUGCUUUAAAACCCCAGAAUUUAUAAGCAGAUCAUAAGACUGAAGUAUGCAAGACUGAUUAUUGGGUGUCUUCUGUCUGUGGCUUUGUUUCAGCCCUGUAGAAG